GGGGAUGUAGCUCAGUGCUAGAGCGCAUGCUUCGCAUGUAUGAGGUCCUGUGUUCAAUCCCCAGCUUCUCCA
Molecule: transfer RNA, 72 nt
Filed under: Salmo salar (Atlantic salmon)
Lineage: Eukaryota; Metazoa; Chordata; Actinopteri; Salmoniformes; Salmonidae
Rfam family: tRNA
About the family: Transfer RNA (tRNA) molecules are approximately 80 nucleotides in length. Their secondary structure includes four short double-helical elements and three loops (D, anti-codon, and T loops).
Source: Rfam by way of RNAcentral